CAGAGGUCCCAAGCGUUGUUCGGAUUCACUGGGCGUAAAGGGUGCGUAGGUGGUCGGGUAAGUCUGAUGUGAAAUCUCCGAGCUUAACUCGGAAACUGCAUCGGAUACUAUUCGGCUCGAGGGUUGGAGGGGGGACUGGAAUACUUGGUGUAGCAGUGAAAUGCGUAGAUAUCAAGUGGAACACCAGUGGCGAAGGCGAGUCCCUGGACAACUCCUGACACUGAGGCACGAAAGCUAGGGGAGCAAACAGGAUUAGAUACCCUGGUAGUCCUAGCCGUAAACGGUGCACGUUUGCUGUAAAAGGAUCGACCCCUUUGUGGCGAAGCUAACGCGUUAAACGUGCCGCCUGGGAAGUACGGUCGCAAGAUUA
RNAcentral lists this ribosomal RNA (370 nucleotides) under uncultured organism. RNAcentral describes it as "bacterial SSU rRNA". It matches the Rfam family "Bacterial small subunit ribosomal RNA", at positions 526 to 896 of the family's 1533-position model. The record is from RNAcentral.